This 71-nucleotide transfer RNA is filed under the name Mycolicibacterium fallax. RNAcentral's name for it is "tRNA-Gly". Lineage: Bacteria; Bacillati; Actinomycetota; Actinomycetes; Mycobacteriales; Mycobacteriaceae. The record is from RNAcentral.
GGGUCGGCCAGCCCGGCCCGGGCGGCGGUCUGCCAGGCCGCCGCGACGGGUUCGACGAUCUGCCCGGCGGC